CCUACGGGAGGCAGCAGUGAGGAAUAUUGGUCAAUGGGCGAGAGUCUGAACCAGCCAAGUCGCGUGAAGGAUGACUGCCCUAUGGGUUGUAAACUUCUUUUGUCAGGGAAUAAUUUGGUCCACGCGUGGGCUUAGCGAGAGUACCUGAAGAUAAGGCAUCGGCUAACUCCGUGCCAGCAGCCGCGGUAUUACGGAGGAUGCGAGCUUUAUCGGGAUUUAUUGGGUUUAAGGGGUGCGUAGGCGGAAUAUCAAGUCAGCGGGAAAGAUUCGGGGCUAAACCCCGAAGUGCCGUUGAAACUGAUGGUCUUGAGUGGGCGAGAAGUAUGCGGAAUGCGUGGUGUAGCGGUGAAAUGCAUAGAUAUCACGCAGAACUCCGAUUGCGAGGGCAGCAUACCGGCGCCCAACUGACGCUGAAGCACGAAAGCGUGGGUAUCGAACAGGAUUAGAUACCCCUGUAGUC
Molecule: ribosomal RNA, 460 nt
Filed under: uncultured bacterium
Lineage: Bacteria
Description: partial 16S ribosomal RNA
Rfam family: Bacterial small subunit ribosomal RNA
Source: RNAcentral